This 237-nucleotide ribosomal RNA is filed under the name uncultured bacterium. Its description in RNAcentral is "partial 16S ribosomal RNA". It matches the Rfam family "Bacterial small subunit ribosomal RNA", at positions 15 to 229 of the family's 1533-position model. The record is from RNAcentral.
GAUCAUGGCUCAGGACGAACGCUGGCGGCGUGCUUAACACAUGCAAGUCGAACGAAGAGCGAUGGAAGCUUGCUUCUAUCAAUCUUAGUGGCGAACGGGUGAGUAACGCGUAAUCAACCUGCCCUUCAGAGGGGGACAACAGUUGGAAACGACUGCUAAUACCGCAUACGAUCCAAUCCCGGCAUCGGGACUGGAUGAAAGGUGGCCUCUAUUUAUAAGCUAUCGCUGGAGGAGGGG